RNAcentral lists this long non-coding RNA (1150 nucleotides) under Fragaria vesca (wild strawberry). RNAcentral describes it as "long non-coding RNA (FVES_LNC000237)". Lineage: Eukaryota; Viridiplantae; Streptophyta; Magnoliopsida; Rosales; Rosaceae. The record is from RNAcentral.
UCAUUAUUGCUAAUGUGAGUACAUCGAGGUCUCAAAUAGACAAAGGACGUCGAUACAACGCCUUAGUACAUAUAACUUGGAACGAAAAUCAAUGUCUAGCCGAUGACAUCAAAGUCAUGGGUAGCUAGAGCAGGAUCUGAAUCUUUGAUAUUCGCGAUCAUGAGGAUGACGUUCUUGUCCUCAUAUUGAUUUUUCAUACCUUUUUGUAUGCAUUCACAAUUUAAAGGAGCUUGACAAUCUUGAACCAGUGAUCCGAAGAUCCACAACGGUUGCAUUAAUGUCAUGAGCUGACGUGAGUAGUUUUGACAAAAUAGUGUCUAGACCGGGAGUGUCGCUAUUAGAGCCGGCAACACCUCCCCCUCUUUUCUAGACAUCGGCACGACGUUUUCUGCCGUUGCCAUGACCCAUAUUGUUGUCCCCACAUUAGGGGAUAAUCUGAAAUAAGUUAUCACAUUAGCGUGUAUACAAUUCCCGUUUGUAUGAUCAAAAUCAAGUCUCGUUGGUAAUUCCAAACCAACUUGGAGGACCUAGAGAACUUGAUGAUGAUCGAAUCCGCUAAAGAUUAUGGAUCAUGAUGCCACAAAAGAUCGUCGACAAUAUGUAGUCAAUUAAGGUGGUAAGCAAUCCACUUGACUAAUAACUCAACAAGUAGAGUUAUAUGAACGUUUCGAGAAACGCUCCAUGAGUGCAUUCCAUAGUACUUUUUUGUCAUUACUUUUUGCACAGAUUGCCAUUGAAGGCUUUUGUCGAUGUGGCGCUUUAAAGACUUUGAGCGCAUGAGAUGUGAAAUCUCGGCAUCUACGCUUGUUAGCCUGGGGGUCAAAACAUGUGGUUUAAUCCUUUCCAAUGAAUGGUUCCACAGAUACCAAGCGAAGAUCCGCCUUAGGCAUCUAGUACGUCAAAACUCAAAGGAGCAGAAUGUUACAUUGCUCUUGCAUACAAAACCAAGCUGUUAUGAGACUCGAUAGAGGUCACAAACGAUGCUUUUAAUGGUUUGUCCUUCGGAUUGAUCAUACACAAUCCGGAAAAGCCUCGAAUUGAUCAAACACAAUUCGGAAAAAGGACCUCGGAUUGAUCAAACACAAUCCGGUGAAAGGUCGGGGUUGGAUCAAACACAACCCGGACAAAGAAACAAGAGUGAUCCAACAUA